This 166-nucleotide microRNA precursor is filed under the name Zea mays. RNAcentral describes it as "MIR2118 microRNA precursor family". It matches the Rfam family "MIR2118 microRNA precursor family". The record is from Rfam by way of RNAcentral. Lineage: Eukaryota; Viridiplantae; Streptophyta; Magnoliopsida; Poales; Poaceae.
GCGGGGAAGAGGAAGAAAGAGAGGCCCCAAGAGCAGUAGGAAUGAGAACACGAAGGAACGCGAGUUUCUCUCCUCUAGCACUGGAGGACAUUUGCACCGUCGAUUUUGCGUUCCUGAUGCUCUCAUUCCUAUGGUUCUUGGGUUCUCCUUCCUCUUCCUUCUGCUU